AUUCCAGCUCCAAUAGCGUAUACUAAAGUUGUUGCAGUUAAAAAGCUCGUAGUUGAAUUUCUGGUCGUGGCAAUCGGUCAGCCCCUCACGGGGUUCGUACCAGGUUGCUGCGUCCAUCCUCGGGGAGAGCACAUCGGGCAUUCAGUUGUCUGGUGUGGGAUCCUCGUCAUUUACUGUGAGCAAAAUAGAGUGUUCAAAGCAGGCUUAGGCCGUUGAAUACAUUAGCAUGGAAUAAUAAGAUAGGACCUUGGUCUAUUUUGUUGGUUUGCAUUCCAAGGUAAUGAUUAAUAGGGAUAGUUGGGGGUAUUCGUAUUCAAUUGUCAGAGGUGAAAUUCUUGGAUUUAUGGAAGACGAACUACUGCGAAAGCAUUUACCAAGGAUGUUUUCAUUG
This 391-nucleotide ribosomal RNA is filed under the name Chrysophyceae sp. RNAcentral describes it as "partial small subunit ribosomal RNA". It matches the Rfam family "Eukaryotic small subunit ribosomal RNA", at positions 582 to 975 of the family's 1831-position model. Lineage: Eukaryota; Chrysophyceae. The record is from RNAcentral.